AGUAGUGUUUGCACAUUUUUACUCCUAUUCGUUUGACCUUUUAUUCUUGUUUUAGCUAUUAUAACGUGCAUGUUUUAUGUCUGAGUAUUUAUUGGUACUAAAACUCAGGAUUUUGAGUCUACUUUUGAAAAACGACAAGAGACAGCCCGCUUCAUCACACACUAUCACAGGAUAAGGACUGUGUGCGGAGAAGUGAUGACUGGGGCUGCUGGGGACUUUCCUGGACCAUGGCUGAUGUGUGACAGGGGGCUCAGAGGAAUCUACUAUGUCACGCUUAACAAAACUCAACCAAAUUCAAUUAACUACUCCACUGUGAGUUAUCCAACAAAAAUCUCCACUUUCACUUUGACUGCAGGAUAUGGCAUGUGGUGAAAGAGCAAAUCCAAACUCACUGGACCGUUUGAUUGAUCAAGUGCUUCUGGGGGACUAAAUUUAAUAGAUACAUGGAUAAAUGAAUGCAUACAUGAAUAAAUGUUUAUUGAUGGUGUUUGAAAUAAGCUUCCAACA
Long non-coding RNA from Oncorhynchus keta (chum salmon), 507 nucleotides. RefSeq lists it as uncharacterized. The record is from RefSeq and is a predicted model, not a curated record. The transcript has 4 exons. Lineage: Eukaryota; Metazoa; Chordata; Actinopteri; Salmoniformes; Salmonidae.